UACGGAGGAUCCAAGCGUUAUCCGGAUUUAUUGGGUUUAAAGGGUGCGUAGGCGGACUAAUUAGUCAGUGGUGAAAGUUUGCAGCUUAACUGUAAAAUUGCCAUUGAAACUGUUAGUCUUGAGUGUAAAUGAGGUAGGCGGAAUGUGUUGUGUAGCGGUGAAAUGCUUAGAUAUAACACAGAACACCAAUUGCGAAGGCAGCUUACUGGGAUACAACUGACGCUGAGGCACGAAAGCGUGGGGAUCAAACAGGAUUAGAUACCCUGGUAGUCCACGCAGUAAACGAUGAAUACUAACUGUAUGCGAUAUACUGUAUGUGGUAAAGCGAAAGCGUUAAGUAUUCCACCUGGGGAGUACGUUCGCAAGAAUG
This 370-nucleotide ribosomal RNA is filed under the name uncultured prokaryote. Its description in RNAcentral is "bacterial SSU rRNA". It matches the Rfam family "Bacterial small subunit ribosomal RNA", at positions 524 to 896 of the family's 1533-position model. The record is from RNAcentral.